RNAcentral lists this ribosomal RNA (830 nucleotides) under uncultured Comamonadaceae bacterium. RNAcentral's name for it is "bacterial SSU rRNA". It matches the Rfam family "Bacterial small subunit ribosomal RNA", at positions 56 to 890 of the family's 1533-position model. The record is from RNAcentral. Lineage: Bacteria; Pseudomonadati; Pseudomonadota; Betaproteobacteria; Burkholderiales; Comamonadaceae.
UGCAGUCGAACGGUAACGGGUUAAGCCGACGAGUGGCGAACGGGUGCCUUAUAUAUCGGAACGUGCCCAGUCGUGGGGGAUAACGUAGAGAAAUUUACGCUAAUACCGCAUACGAUCUAAGGAUGAAAGCGGGGGAUCGCAAGACCUCGCGCGAUUGGAGCGGCUGAUAUCAGAUUCGGUUGUUGGUGAGGUAAAAGCUCACCAAGCCGACGAUCUGUAGCUGGUUUGAGAGAACGACCAGCCACACUGGGACUGAGACACGGCCCUGACUCCUACGGGAGGCAGCAGUGGGGAAUUUUGGACAAUGGGCGAAAGCCUGAUCCAGCAAUGCCGCGUGCAGGAAGAAGGCCUUCGGGUUGUAAACUGCUUUUGUACGGAACGAAAAGGUCUGCCCUAAUACGGUGGGCUCAUGACGGUACCGUAAGAAUAAGCACCGGCUAACUACGUGCCAGCAGCCGCGGUAAUACGUAGGGUGCGAGCGUUAAUCGGAAUUACUGGGCGUAAAGCGUGCGCAGGCGGUUAUAUAAGACAGUUGUGAAAUCCCCGGGCUCAACCUGGGAAUUGCAUCUGUGACUGUAUAGCUAGAGUACGGUAGAGGGGGAUGGAAUUCCGCGUGUAGCAGUGAAAUGCGUAGAUAUGCGGAGGAACACCGAUGGCGAAGGCAAUCCCCUGGACCUGUACUGACGCUCAUGCACGAAAGCGUGGGGAGCAAACAGGAUUAGAUACCCUGGUAGUCCACGCCCUAAACGAUGUCAACUGGUUGUUGGGUGCAUUAGUACUCAGUAACGAAGCUAACGCGUGAAGUUGACCGCCUGGGGAGUACGGCCGCA